This 246-nucleotide ribosomal RNA is filed under the name Dentiscutata heterogama. The record is from RNAcentral. Lineage: Eukaryota; Fungi; Glomeromycota; Glomeromycetes; Diversisporales; Gigasporaceae.
CAGACAUGCUCCGUGCGUUCAGCCGAAAGGUGUACUCGUACGGUUGCAGGCUAGAGUCUGCUCUUGGGGUCGGAUAAGGGUCUUGGGAAUGUGGUACCUCCGGGUGUGUUAUAGCCCCUUGCUGUAUACACUGGUUGGGAUUGAGGUUUCAGUGCACGCUUCGGUUGUGCUUUGAUGCUGGCGUAAUGGCUUUAAGCGACCCGUCUUGAAACACGGACCAAGGAGUCUAACAUGUAUGCGAGUGUU